UCUCCGUUGGUGAACCAGCGGAGGGAUCAUUACCGAGUUUACAACUCCCAAACCCCAAUGUGAACGUUACCAAACUGUUGCCUCGGUGGGAAAUUCAUGCCCCGGGCGCGUCGCAGCCCCGGACCAAGGCGCCCGCCGGAGGACCAACCAAAGCUCUUUUGUAUGUCCCUCGCGGACUUUUAUAAUUCUGAACCAUCUCGGCGCCCCUAGCGGGCGUUUCGAAAAUGAAUCAAAACUUUCAACAACGGAUCUCUUGGUUCUG
Molecule: unclassified non-coding RNA, 262 nt
Filed under: plant metagenome
Description: partial contains small subunit ribosomal RNA, internal transcribed spacer 1, and 5.8S ribosomal RNA
Source: RNAcentral